RNAcentral lists this ribosomal RNA (523 nucleotides) under uncultured Herbaspirillum sp. RNAcentral's name for it is "bacterial SSU rRNA". It matches the Rfam family "Bacterial small subunit ribosomal RNA", at positions 1 to 523 of the family's 1533-position model. Lineage: Bacteria; Pseudomonadati; Pseudomonadota; Betaproteobacteria; Burkholderiales; Oxalobacteraceae. The record is from RNAcentral.
UAGAGUUUGAUCCUGGCUCAGAUUGAACGCUGGCGGAAUGCUUUACACAUGCAAGUCGAACGGCAGCACGGGAGCUUGCUCCUGGUGGCGAGUGGCGAACGGGUGAGUAACAUAUCGGAACGUACCCAGACGUGGGGGAUAACUAGUCGAAAGACUAGCUAAUACCGCAUACGUCCUGAGGGAGAAAGCGGGGGAUCGGUAACGACCUCGCGCGUUUGGAGCGGCCGAUAUCUGAUUAGCUAGAUGGUGAGGUAAAAGCUCACCAUGGCGACGAUCAGUAGCUGGUCUGAGAGGAUGAUCAGCCACACUGGGACUGAGACACGGCCCAGACUCCUACGGGAGGCAGCAGUGGGGAAUUUUGGACAAUGGGCGAAAGCCUGAUCCAGCCAUUCCGCGUGAGUGAAGAAGGCCUUCGGGUUGUAAAGCUCUCUCGGCAGGAACGAAACGGCGGGGUCUAAUACACCCUGUUAAUGACGGUACCUGAAGAAGAAGCCCGGCUAGCUCGUGCCAGCAGCCGCGGUAA